Long non-coding RNA from Chelonia mydas (Green sea turtle), 8251 nucleotides. RefSeq lists it as uncharacterized. The record is from RefSeq and is a predicted model, not a curated record. The transcript has 2 exons. NCBI's taxonomy places the organism in Eukaryota, Metazoa, Chordata, Testudines, Cheloniidae.
GAAAGCUUAUGCCCAAAUAAAUUUGUUAGUCUCUAUGGUGCCACAAGGAUUCCUCGUUAUUUUUACUUUAUUUUAAUGUAUUUUGGAGAGAGAAAAAUAGAGGCAGGAGAAUAACGUGAUUUAAAUGAAAGGCAGAUAGAUAUGGGGGCCCUGACAUCAAUGCCUGUAUCUCCCCCUCUCUUCUGGCUGAUGUUAUCACUACCAGGAAGGCUGGUUUUAUGGAAAGAUGAAAAAGAACUUGUGUUGAAAGGUCCAAGAGGUGGGCCUAUUAACCCUCUGAGAACAAUUAGAUCCCAAGAAGGGGGGGGGGGGGGGGGGGGGGGGGGGGGGGUUCCUCUAACUUUCAUAAGAAUCUGGCCACUGUGGGGUGUGAGAAUGUAGAAGCCACUUGCAAUGGACAGUGGAGAGCUGAGAUGGUUGCUAGAUGACCCCUUAACAGGUUCACAGAUAGUCCAGUGUUCUUUAAAUUCAGGAGAUAAAUUCCAGUCUAUCUAGAAUCUUUGCUUGAGAUGGUGAUAACUGGUGGUGUUAUGACCAGAUCAUGAAUCUCUUCAAUUUAGCAGCAUAAGUAUGUCUGGUAGAGUCUUUUCUGCUGUGGACAGGGACACUUUGUACUGCAGAUGAGCAGGUUCUUUCUACUGAAGUCAGUCAGCCAGUAUUUAUGCUGUUAAGUGUAGGGAAUAUGGGAUGAUGGACUUGGCCGUGCCUCCAUAUUAUGACCUCUGGUUGGAGAGCUAUGUGUAUUGACGGUUGAAUGGAGAGAUUCUUCAGGCCUGAUACCAGAACUGUCUUGAUCAUGCUGGAGCUACCAUGAUCAUUAUGGCAGAGUCCCAUCUGAGCUUCCUGAAAGCACUGGGGAUGAACAGAAUUGGAGGGUAAGCGCACAGGAGACCUGAUGACCGUGAAAUCAGAGAUGCAUCAGGCAAUGACCCCUGACUUAGUCUGCGUCCAAACCAGAAAUUUUGACAUUUCCUUUUUGCUCUUUUGGCAAAGCGGUGUAUGCUGGAAUGACGACAACAUAAGACCUCUCUCUCAAGUGUAAUCUAUCAGCCUGUAACGGGUGUCUGAAAACUGCUCACUAAGGUGAUCUGCCAGCACAUACUGUAUUGCUGGGAGAGGAACAGCCUUCAGAGUAAUUUCACGAUGGAUACAAAAGUUCCAAAGAUGUACACCCUCUUAACAUGAAGGAGUAGACCUUACGCCCCAAUGCUUGUUUACAUAAAAUGGCUAUUAACUCCAGGACAUUUGUGUGGAGCCUUGCUUCCUGAGGAGUCCAUGUGGCUUGUGUUUGUGAUCGUCUAAAUGGGCUUUCCAUGCUAAAGUAAAGGAAUUUGUCACCAAUGUUUUUGAUGGUAGUGAAGGGGAGAAUGGUUGUCCCAUUGCAGACUUUGAAGGGCCCCUUCCACCAAUUUAAUGACAGGACUUCUGGUGGAACAUGUAUUAGGAUGGACAGGUAAUGUUAGCUUAGCUGAUACAUAAUACAGAUCUCAAACACCCUUGCAUGCAACAGAAGUCUGGCAGGCUGAAUUACAAAGGUGCAGGGGCCAUGUGUCCCAGCAGUCAAAAAAGCUCUCACUGAUAUCCUGUGGUAAACAUGAAGGUCGACAGAUAGGUCUAAUAUGACUUGGACUCUCUGGUGGUAGACAAGCCAUCACUAUUAGGGAGACCAGCACGACUGCUAUAAAUUCUAUUUUUUGUGUUGGAGUCCGUAUUGACUUCUUUUUGUUUACUUUAAGGCCUAGAGAGGCGAACAGUUGCAGAGUCUGUUAAAUGAAGUCUAUUACUUGCUGGCGCACCUUCCCAUGAAUGAGCUAGUCAUCAAAAUAUGGGAAAACUUGGACUACCUGUCUCCUGAGAUGGGGAAAACUGAGACAGAGAGCGGUUAAGUGACUUGUGCAAACUCACACAGGAAGACUUUCGCAGAGACAAGAACAGAACUCCAAUCCCCUGACUCCCAUGCUGGUGCUUCAACCACAAAACCAACCAACCCUCCUGCCUGUCUUUAACUUGUCAGUGCCUUUAUUGAAGAUAUUAAGUAAUGUCAAAAGGAAGAGCAGAGACAACAUCUUCAUUCUCUUCCUGCAUCAGACACCUUCAAGCAGUCUACUGUGCCGCUUUCUGAUUUAACUUUGCAGAGCCAUCCCUAAAUCCUCCAUAGGGAAAGAUUUCCCAUGCCUAAGUGCUCUCUUGCCCCUCACCUCUAUUUCAGCUACCGAAGGCUCCUUGCUGAAGCACAUGUUCAUGAUGUUUCUUGCCGUCCGGUAAAAGGUUGUUAAAGAAACAGACCUACCCUGUGAAUCAAGAGAGCACGAUUAAAAGUGAAAAUAAAAAUGGUACCUUCGCCCCCCACCUCCAGUGUUAUUUACUGUGCAAACCUUACCUUCCUCAGCCCAAGACCAGGAGAGGGGAAGGGACAAAAUGUUCUCUAAGAACAGGUACAAUAGAGUCCAUUGAUCUAAUAUACAUUUCUUCCUGAAGCAAGUAUCUCAAAUGCCAUUAAAAGCAGUAGGGAACUCCAGCUUUUACCAUGGCAAGCAGCAGCUGAUACAGCAAGUGAGCCUAUGCAGAUGUCAUUUUAAAACUUCCACCAAGUCAGUUUCCAUUUUUAAGGUCUCACUUUUUAGGAAAAGUGUUUUAACCUCAUUUAACCUAUUUUUCUGUGCAAACAGAUGCUGUUCAUGAUAGAACAUGCACUACAUGGAGAACAGGAGGACACAAAAAGGAUGACUCGGAGCUAAGUUAUACUUUAUAUUCAGUAAUUGCAUGUACAACAACAACAACAAGGCAGCAAGGCAUGGUUCAAUAACAAUAUUAUGAAGACCAGGGAUUGGUAUGGAGGGGCAGGGGGGUUUACAAAAGCAAAAUAGUAAAAUGUGUGUUGCUUCCUUCCUCCACUACUUUGUCUGCAUGAUGUCCUUUAGAUUGUAAGCUGGUUGGGACAAGGAACUGUCUUAUUUUUGUUCUAUACAACACUUAGCAAACUUCUGAAUAUUCUUUUACAUGUAUAUUAUUCUUAUAUAUUAGAUGCUCACACACACAUAUAAUAAUAAACACAUUUUCAAUCUAAUAGAGAUCAAUAGGAAGACAUAGCACCAGCCCUUUGUAUAUCUGCAACCAGGUUGCCAAAGAUCUUAGUAAAAUACGGUGGUCAAGUUCUCAGUGUAUGAUCCAAAGUUUGAAAUUUGGAAAUGUGUAAAAUAAGCCUUAAAAGUGUUUUUAUGUUAGUAUUAUCUGAGACCAAGUUAAAGGCUUACAAGAAAAGAGACCGUGUGGAGACAGGAAACAUGCCCCCCCUUUAAGGCUUGGGGAUAUUGGAACCUGCCUAUACCCUCUGGUGAAAAUGCAGCCUAUAUUUAGGUUUCAAGUUCUUCCAUCACUCUAAACCAAGAAAAUAACCUUGAAAGCUAAGGGAUGUGAAGGAUGACAGCACCCCGCCACCAAACCUUGCAAUAUUUUGGUCUAGCCACGGUGAUAUGUACCGAUUGUAGUAGGCCAGGCUAAGUACAAGAGAAAUGUUAAAAAGGAAGUUAAAAAGGAAUUCCUGCUUUACAAACAUGAAGUCUAUCCCUUGUCCCCAUAUCUACCUCUCUCUUUCCUCUGACACCAAAUUACCUUCCCUCACAUUUGCCAACCCUCUUCCUCUCAAAAAAUAAAGGAAAACCUAAGAACCAACCCCACACCCCCUCCGGAUCUAAACUUCUGGUAAAUGAACAUUUAAUUAGUUGGAUUAUUUUGUUUUUAUUUUUUAAAAUGGUGAAACAUGAUCUGCUAAAUUGCUAAGACUGUAUUUCUGCUUACUUUGAGCAAGAACUCUACCCAAGAGUAAACCAGGGAGAAUUACACAGCAGUUUGUCGUUGUUUUCUUUUUCCUAUAAGAGACUAAGCCUGUUGCUAAAACAUGGAUGGUCCUAACUUUUUGUUUUUGUUUGGUUUUAAACUGAAUGCAGGGCAAUUAGCUGCUACAAGAAGUCUGUAAAAUGCCCAGGGCCCCAGACUCUCAUAAACCUCUGAGCUGGAUGGUCUGUGAUACAAUGAGCAAUUUCCUUCAUCUUUUACUGCCCUUGUGAAUCUUUUAUUGAGGCAGGCUUUGAAAACAAAUCCUCAAAUCCCUCUGCUCCUACAGUCUUCAAACUUGUACAUAUACUUCCCUGAUGACAAGCUGCUAACGAAUGCUCUAUAGAAGCUUUUUAGGUUUAAGAUGGUUUGCCUGCCACUUUGUCAUACAAAAGAGAAUAGGAUUCAGGACUGAUCCUCCAAAAUUAACUAUGUCCUCCAAAUUCUGAGAUGGGCGGCUGCCCUAUCAUAGGGAAGAAACCUGCAUACAAUAGUGGACAGCAUUGUUAAAAAGAUUGAAGUUCUUGAUUCUCUCAAUCAAAAAAUUUCACAUCCCCCACCUCGGCCCGAAAGUCACAAAACAUAUAAAGGCUGAUGAGCUUUCUACAUGAAAAAUAUGACAAUAUUUUCUUGAGGAUCAUUAAGAGAAAAUAUUUUAAGACUUUGCACUCUAAAAUGGAGCUGGCUGAAAAUAGAUUCACCAUACAAAAUUAUUACUGAAGUGCAAAACACCUUUUGAGGCCCCUGAGAAGAUCUGAACAGUUGAUACUAAGGAUCCUCUAGGAACUUAGAAGUAUUAAGCAAAAUCUUUGAAGCAGUGAGGAGCCUUAACAGAAGAAUAGCUGAAUUGCAAAAUUAUAUUGUGAUACCUCAUUCUACCUACAUUACUAUUAAGGAGAGAAAAGGGGAAGGUAAGAGUCCUGAAGAUGAACUCAGGUCAGGAGUGCCCAGACUACGGCUAGAUGAAAUUUUUCAGACAUUUUUUUUGCUGAAAAACCCAAAUUCAGGUCAACCAAACAUUUCAUGAGUUUGUGCCAUUUUUAGUUAAUUGUUUUAGUUUAAACUAAUUGUUUUGUCAUUAUCCAAACAAAACACCCAAACCCAGAUUUUUUUUCCUGCUAGACUCGCAGGGGAGUUAGGCAUGCGAAGGAAGAGGUAGUGGUGGUGUGGGAAACCCAAGUUUGAUCCCAGCUCUAGAGCAGGGACUGGAACCCAGUCUCUCCCUCCCAGGUGAGUGCCCUAACCACCAGACUGUUGGCUAUUCUGGGAUGGGGGUAUCAAUAUCUCCUGCUGAAGGAGUUUCACUUUGUAUAAAUAAUUAGUCAUGAGAGCAGGGACUCAAACCCUGGGUUCUCCCACCUCUCAAGUCACCAGGCAACAAAGUCACACCCUCUCUCUCUCUCUCUCGCCCAAUGACUAUUCAAGUAUUUUAUCAAAAUAUUUUAGUACUUCUGCAUAUGGCAUUGGUGAGAACUGUACUGGAAAACUGGUGGUCUCUUCCUAAAAAUAUGCCCCAAUACAACCACAAGAUAUUAGACUUGAUGCAGGAAUUACCGGGUGAAAUUCUAUGACCUGUGUAAUGUAGGCAAUGACCAAUGAACACAAUGGUCCUUUCCAGCCCUAAUCUAUUCAUUUACAAAAACCUUUCUUAAAGUGGAGCUAAGGUUGCUGUCACACAAUAGGACCUUCCUAUCCCUAUACCCUUCUGGAACAUAAGGCUUCAAAACUCAAAUAUUAGGAAAUAUUCACUUAAGGUCUUCUCACAUAUCCCCAAAAGAAUGUUAGUGUGAUAAGAAAUGCCGCCCCCCCCCCCCGCCCCCAGAAAACACACUUAUGCAAGCCAGGGGAUCUGCAGUUAAAGUGCUGUUUCAUUCAUAAUGAAACCACACAACCUUAGCUCUAAUCCAUAAAUAGUACAGCUCAGCUAAGGAACCUGCACACUGUGGCUGGGAGCCACACUUGACUCACAGCAGGGCAGCUGUUCAUUCUGCAGAGUCAAGAACAAAAUAUAAUCUUAAAAACAAAAAUGAGAGUUAACUUUUAGAGCUUGUUCUCGAUGCUAGACACCAGUUCUCACUGCAUGUUUUUUCCCCUACCUCUGUACAGAAAGAUAUAAGAUGUGUUGUGAUUUUAGUAACAGAGCCAGAGGUUAAGGCUAGGAGGUCAUAUUUUGGGGGGCUGUGUCUCUGGAACCCCUUGAGCAAACAUUCUCAAAUGUGUAUCAUAUAUUCUACCCUGGCCCAUACCAAUUUUCAAACAGGUUUGAGUCUGACUGUAUGUGUGGUUUUAAGGAGGAUUGCAAGUUUGGCUGUAAGCAGAAAACACGUUGCAAUGUUCUCCAUAGUACCAUCCUGUAAUGCAAGACUUCAUGCCUGGUUUGGUUCUUGUAUCUUGACUGCUUUUGGUAGAUGGGGGUAGCAUGAAUCAUGUCAGCCCUGAAGUUCACUAAUAUUUAAUCGUUUACGUGCUAAAUCACAUGUACAUUUUAAAAGUACAUUUAUUAAACUUCAUUAGACCUAUAAUUGGUCAUGGCACAGUGCCGGGGGAAGGACUUAAUGCCUUCUCAAGGUCCCUUCCAGUCCUACAUUUCUAUGAUUCUAUACUGGGUCUGACAUUGCGAAGUCCUGAGAGCCUUCCACAACGUUCUGAAAGCAUGUCAAUGAGAGUAUAAGAGCAUUUAGCACUUUGCAUGAGGCAUUCAGAACUUAGCAGGUUCAGGCUUAUUAUUACAGUGUUCAGGUAAUGGCUGAUUAAGAUAUUUCUCUGCACAGACUCACUCUUUUUGUGUGUGAUCUCUCAUCUCCCUCUAAAAUGUAACUUGGGGACUUUAUACUGGCAAGCAGUGGGGUGGUGUUUUGUAUGUGAAGAUCAGUAUGUUUCAUUUAUUAUUAAAUUCAAGAUAUUAAGUACAAAAAAGGCCUUUUAACUAUGCACAGGGAAUAUCAUUAAUGUAGCUGCCAUUAGAUAAGGCUUGUAUCUUUUAAUGUGAUAGAAACAUCAUUAACAGUUUGUUUUAACACGGGAGUGAGAAGGGAGCCCCAGAAUAGUACGCUCUUCAUCUGACAAAUUCUAAUGCAUUGCUGUGCAGAAGAAAUGUGAAUGAACUUUCUUAAAUGCAAUUCAUGAGCUUAGUCAGCCUCUAAAUAGCUUAACAAAAACUACUUCGGACAGUAACACUUGGAAUGCUAUCUGUUUUCAUUUCAUAGUGACAGGAGAGAGACUGGGGAGGGAAGAGUGGUAUAGCAGCUUACUGGCCGCAGACAGUAAGUACUGUAUAUCUCACUCUCAGCACUGCUAAAUAAUUCAAUCGAACUAAAAAGUACACUGCAAGUUGGGAUGCCAAUUCUUGCUCAAUAGUGGAAGGCUGCCAAUAAAAUACAAUGAAAGAGACAACAAUCCUUUGUAAACGGAUUUUAAAUGUGCUGGAGGAACAAGCAUUAUGACCAUUUGUGCUUAGCAAAAUUUGGCAUCACGGUUGAAAAUAUUGUUUGCAUUUCAAUUUGCACUUUCUAAAUCGUGUGUAUUUUUAGCUACAUUAGUUUUGAUGGCUCUAUCAAGGGAGUGGUACUCUGCUCAUUGAGCAACUGGCAAGAAACAGGCGUGAGAGAGCGGAACAUUACUUUAAACGUCACUAAAAAAUGAAAAUAAAUGUUGUGUCUGCUAGGAUAAUUGCUUAGAGUAUUUCUUACAAAGAGCCAACUCCAUAGAUGGAGGGGGACUAGUGUUCUAUGUAGCACAUCCACAAAAAUAACAUUUUCUAGUUUGUCAAGCUGCAGUAAAAUCAGGAUGGAGUUAAUACCCCCUCAUCAAACUGCCUGCAGCAAUUAAUAGUCCAGCCAUUGACGCUGGAAAAACACUGUGGCCCACUGGCUGACUCCAGCUGGGUCUCACCACAGUGCAGCACAGAGAACAUCCGUGUCAAUGCUUUCACAGAAGAAAAAUCAACAGAAGUGGUCUUUACUACCUUGUAUAUACACUUAUGUAAGUCGCUAAGAACUCCCUUCUCCUCCUCCUCCUUCUCGAUCUCCUUUUCCUGAGCGAAGAGUCGCCGCCUGCCUGUUUUCAAUGGGAUAUCAACUUCUUUCAACUUGUUACGGAAGCCGUUUUUGUGAACCACGCCAUUGAUGAGUCCAUUUUUGGGCUCGAACCGGGGCAAGGAAUGGAACUUAUAGGCAUUUUCUGAGUGUCCCUCCAAAGGACCUUUCCUCUUCUCUAAGAUCUCCUUUUCCAGCAGGACUUCCUUCUCUAGUUUCUUGUGCUCCUCAGAGGAGAGGGAGUCAUAGGAGAGCAAGUACUGGCAAUAGGCUUCCUGCAGCUUUGCUAGCCUGUCCUGCGCAGUUCUGGGGAUUCGUAGCAUAUCUGCCAGCUUGUUCCAUUUCUUGAGGUCAGUCACUUGCUGCAUGCCGCCCAUUUCAUU